Long non-coding RNA from Numida meleagris (helmeted guineafowl), 5688 nucleotides. RefSeq lists it as uncharacterized. NCBI's taxonomy places the organism in Eukaryota, Metazoa, Chordata, Aves, Galliformes, Numididae. The transcript is spliced from 3 exons. The record is from RefSeq and is a predicted model, not a curated record.
UCAAUUUGUAAUGUCUACAGAGUGCUCGGAUGAAAAGAUGUUCUGAAAAUGCCUCGGAUGAAAAGAAGCUGUAAAAAAAAAUAUAAUCUUUACCCUGAUAGACUGAUUACAAUCUAUUGUGCCAUGGAUUAGCGGUGAAAUUCUCCGCAUGCUGAGUUUGUACUGGCAGGCAGUGCCACUUUCCCUCGAUGCCGUGUGUCAAUGAAUUCAGCAUUUGCACAAAGAACGCUGCCUUCCUCUCCUCUCGUGAUCCUGGUCUUGCUGAGGUGAAAUGCAAGCGAAAAACCCUGGAGCAGGUGCAGAGAUCAGCUUCUUCUGGAAGAAACCUAUCUAAAAUGAGCAGAAGUGCCCUCCUAUGUAUCACGGGGAUGUUGUCGUCUCCCAGGCUGUGAUGCGUGGUUAAAAAAAGAACAGAGGGCUCCUAAAAGUAGCCAAAAAGCGCAUGAUAUGUGAAUAGAGCCAGGAGAUAACUGAGUCAUCUCAAGUGAUACAAAGGGCCAAAAGAAUGGGGUUGGAGCAGACGCAAGUGCAGAGCAGGCUGUGAGCAACAGCCCCAUCUCCAUGAUUUCCAUAGUCACACGGGCAGCACAAGAAACGUGUGCUGGCACAUUUGUAUCAUUCAGCCUCUAUGUUUUCUCAUUCUUUGAAUGGAGAACAAGGAAAAUGGUGGAGGAAAAGGAUCAGUGAGACAACACGUGGAAUCACACCAGCUAGAAAGCCUCUGCUUUGCUAAGACCAUAGUGGUUGACAAUGGGAAAGAACUAACCUCCUACCACAGUGAUAGUUGAUAGUGACAGCUGCAUGUUUAAAACAAGAAUGUAUUUUGUACUCCACUCUCUUUCACAGAAGUCACGUUUGUCAGAAACUUAAAAAAAUUCCAAGUAUGAUUCAUGUUUCAUUUCGCUCUGAGGUAAUUGCCAGUCAGCAGCCAUUUGUGGUCUAAGAUGAUUGGAAGUUUUAAAGCAGAAUGUGGGCUUUUCCCACUUAUCUACUUACCAAAACCAACAUCUCUUGGGGGAAAAAAAAAUCAACACAAUAAACAACAAAACAAAACAAAAUCUCAGAGGAGUCUGGCACACAAAUGACACAGUUAAAAUGUUGCUCCGCUACUACAAUUGCUUCAGAAUGAUUACUUUCCUUCUAUUUCAUCCUCAGCUGAUUAGUCCCUAGGCUCAAUUGCUUUCAAAUGAAUAAAACACCAUCUAUUUGUUUUUUCGCUUCUGUGAGAGAAAAAAAAAAAUUCUACUUAUUGUGAUAAAGAGAUUGGUUUUGUCUGUGUGGACUUUUGUUCUGAGGAAUGCAAUAAUUUUGCUGGUACUGAAAUUCUGAUUUUUGAGUGUCUUUAAUUGGACUAUUGUCUAUUCUGUUGAUUUGAGAAAUGGUUUGCAUAACUGACCCAAACACCUCUGGAAGCUUAAACUGAAUUUUGGAAAGAAUUACAGAUUAUUUUUCCUGUCUUUCUCCUCUCUGGACAGAAAAAGCUGGAAAGCCCCAAGCAUAGUUGGAUACACAAACCCACAGAAAUGCUUUUCCCAUCAUCAACUGUUCAGAAAAUGCUGUACCUAAAAGACAUCAGGUCAUUGCCCUUUUUCAAUACAAGGCAUUCAAAUAGUUUUGAAAAACUUUCGAUUGUCAUCCAAGAUGAAUCUUAUCAUCUUUGCCCAUUAUCUCUUAUCAAAUCUGAAACACGACAGGCAUAAUUCAGAACGAGAUAUUUGGCAUUGCCCAAACCCUUGCUGCAUGUCACUCAAAGCCAUUGAUGGGCACUUCAAAGAAAACCAGGGUGCAGUUUGGAGCAAUUCUUUACGAGUUUCUCUGUAGCAAAAUUUCUUACUUGGAAGCCCUCUAGUUAAAGCUUGCAUUUCUGAUAAAUUUCCAUGCAUUAUUAACCUAAUUGGACCUAACAUAUAUUCUAAGAUUCUCAUUAAUAUUUUUUAACAUGUUAUGGCAUCUUUACCCUUGAGCAGUCAACCAAGUUUUCAUCCUCAUAAAAACGGAUUCCUCAUAAUCGGACAAUCCAAUCAUUUCCAGUCCAUAAGGUAAAUUUCCUCUAUAUUCUUUGAUUUUGCAUUUUUUUUUUUUUUUUACCAAUCAGCAUAAUACAUUUCACCCUAUGGAUGAUUUCUCCAUAAGCCUUGCCAAUAUUACUGGAAGCUUCUAACUGGAAAGGGUGCCAGCUUGAGCUGGAGGACACGUCUAAGAGAUGACCUCAGGCCAACGGAAAGAAGGUAGAACUCUGAGCAUUUUAGCAGGAUUGUUCCAUUUAUUCUUGUAAUUUAGACACUUCACUGACUCUGAUCAUCUUCAGAAUGGAUAAAAUGCCAAUGAACCGUACGGAAUGGUAAAUAAAUGGUACUAGAGCCCACUGAUUGUUAGUCAUUCGUUAAUAUAUCUGCAUAGGGAUAACAUUGUGGAGACUCAAUUCUGAAUAGAACUGUCUGAGGUGAUACAAAGAAAAAAGAACAUGAAAAGGAUGACCCUAAGCUAAAAAGAUUAUUAGCGUUUCUUAGGCUCUAUGGCAGUAAUAACAACAAUAAUCAUCUAGAACAAUUAUUGGGUAGAAAAGAAGAUUUUUUCGUGUAAGUUCAGAAUGCUUUCAUUGUUAUUAUCUAAAAUUGAACUACGUAUAUUAUUUUAAGUGGGUAAAUUUUUGUUUUGUAUCCAUGAAAUUGCUACCAUAUUAACAAGAUUUUCCAGGCAUUAAUGGAUUGAUUUCUGUAUAAUUGUAACUAUAUUAAUUCAUCCCAAUUACCUCUAAGUAAAAUUUAAAUUAAGUUAAAUUGAAGAAAUUAAAAAUGUUUGAAAACCCUGCAUAGAAACCUUGAGGCAUCAUAAGAUUGUCAUUUCUCAUCUUUAAUGUCAUUCAUUUUGCAACUGAGAACAUGACAUAAGUAGUCUCAGUUCUCCCAAAAUUUGCAAACUGCUAUUUUUCUGUACAAUUCAAAGGUAACUUAAAGGUAUGUCUGUGAAUCCAACAUGAUUUUUUUUUCCUCCACUGAUGGAAAUGGCUGUUUCCUGCUUUCCUAAGAAGGAAGCAGACGUAGGGAUGAUCCAUAUGUAAUGAGAAGAUAUUCAGCCAUAAGGAUAGGUUCAAAUGAAUAGGGGAAGCACUGUUGUUGGUCUCAUAGAGAAAGCACUCAGAAUAGGCUGGCCACCCAGUAGUGCUCCUGAGUGCUACAUUGCUCCAAAAGGCAAAAAUACCCUUCUACCCUUCAAGGUUAUGGCUAGGAUUAGCCUUCUGCAAAGCUUGGUGGCAGAUCCAAGCUGAGAUAGCUUUAAUCUGAUGCUGGAGAACGCAACUAUAUUCUGGUUUAGCCAAGCUCUGCGUUGCUCAUGACUGAGCUAGAAGUAUUUGAGCUGAAACUGACUCUAAAUGGCAACAGUUUGAACAAUCUCCCAAGCUAUGUUACAAUUCACAGCGUAAAGAGAACUGGGAAUAGAGCUGGGGAUCUCAGCACGUGGUGUCUCACAGUGUUUGUUCGUCUCCUGAUCAACUACUUCCCAAAAAAGGCCCUUUCAAAAGCAUAGUUCUCCAGAUCCUGAUUUCUAGACACAUUUGGAGCUCGGAAGGGCCGUGGCUGCAUGUCUGUGACAGUGGUCAGGGGGCUGCACUGAGAUGGAGAUCGAGAUUUAUUCACGGAGGAUGUCAUCCUGCAAAACUGCUGGCAUUUCAUGUCUUCUCUUUGGCUGCCUUUGUCCUUGAAAGCUCUGUAGGCUUCAAGGUUGGCUCGGUGGUCUGCUCAGAGAUAUAACCGCUAACUAGAACUAGCAGAAACCAGACAAAGUACUCAGUUUAGAUCAUCCGUGCUCUGAGAGAAUUAGACGGAUGCAGGUCAUGCUGAGGAGAACCAGGGAAGCUGUUCCCCUCCCUGCAGCAGAAUCAUUCAAACUGAGAGAAAGCUGCUCGCAGGAAGGAGGAGGCUCGUAGAAAGGUGCUUCUUAAUUGCAUUUUGGUCCUGGACCCUCUGGUGAGCAGAGACACUGGGAACAAAUGAAAGUUUCUGGCGCUGGGGAAAAAAAAAAAAAAGAGGAAAAAGUUUUGCCGCUUAGAGCAGGGAAAUAGUUUGAGGCUAUGUUUUAAUUAAAAUGAAUAUCUGCGCUAUCUUAAUGUUAUUGCCAGUUAAGUGUAGCAGGGUGAUUUAGAGUUCUAUAACACAAUUAUACUCCGGUAAUGAAGCUCCGCAGAAUUAUCCCAGGAAUUCAGAAUGCAGAGGGGAGCAGUAGCUCUCAUUUGUAACCAUGUUACAACCUUUAUUGUUACAAUAUUUUCUGUUUUCCUCAAAGAUUAACUCAGUCGUAUUUAAGUCUCUGGUUACAUUAAAGAGAAAUUGGGAACGGGUGACAGGAGCUUUCUUACUGUCCCUGCAGCGGUUCAAUGCAAAAUGUUCUACAACAGAGAGCUGAGUGCCUUAACCUGUUCAAGCUCUUGGUCUUUCUACUGGGGGACAACAUGUACGUUGUUAGCUAGAAAUAUCACAAGAAAUACAAUUUUGCAAGUGAGGCCUCAAAUAAGGAAAUAUUCCAGCAGGGAAGUCUCUAUUGGUGAUGCCUUGACAGCUGGCAUGAAGACUUUCAAAGAUGCUUUGCUCCUUUGAAGCGCAUCUACAUCUGUAUCCUGUGGGUUUGUGUUACAUCCAGGAGCUGUGCGCUGAGGAUGUCUCCUUUGCUCCUGAGCUCAUGGUCAGGUUCCCAUGGGGUGCAAGCCCCAGUGGAAAAGAAGGGCUGCAUGGGAACCAGCAGAUCCUUGCUCUGCUCACUCCCCUCCCAUAUGCUUGAAAAAAACUUCUGCACUUCUCCAGCUGUGUUUCCAAUACAGCUCAGGAGACGUGUACCCAGACUUACAAGCCAUUGAGUUUGACCACAGAGGAGUACCCAGGUCAUGCUUGGUUUCUGUACCUUGGUAUAGAAAUGUUCCUAUCUCUUCAAGGAGAACACUCAAAUUCUAAUGGAUUGAUCUACCCAUGCACAGGAAGCACCUCAUUUCUCCACCCCAAGAAUUAACUUGAUCCAGAACCAAGCUAGAGCACGAGCUCUUCUUGGCCACAGAAUGCCUGGCCUUGAGUGCAGUACUGAGUUAGAGUGAAUGUGAUGGGGUAUCCACACCAAACCUUGCCCUCCCACAGCGAUUCCUCAUCACUGACAGAGAAAAAUAGAAUUUUUUAUUUCCAGAAACAGGAAAUCUGCUUGGAGAAAGCAAGAAGCCCUGCCCAUCUGCAUUCCUAUUUGGAGAUAAAACUGUUCAGCACUGAGGAAAGCUGGAAUUGAAACCGAGCUGACUUUACUCAAGUGUUCGAUUUGCAGCAAACGGAUUAAAAGCAGAAAGGAAUCGAUGCGGUAAUACGAUCAAUCCUCAGGAACACCUCCCGAUCCCUGUGGCAGACCCCAGCGGUCCGAUUAAUCAAAGCAUACAGCCUGUGGAUAAGACUCUUUGCCUUUGUUUUUCCCACAGUUUUUUGUCACAACUGGGGUCCAGGCUGCUCAAAUGAGGCGUAUCUGUCAGCCAUCAGGAUUGUCACCCUUCAAACCUCGAAUCAUAUUCAUGCAGAGACAGGGACUCUAGCUCCAACCUAACGACACUUUCAGGGAAAAGAUUACAGAUUGGACAAUAAAAGCAUGUUUUAUACAUUAGUUAUUGUUUUGCUUUACGAUUCGGUGUGAAAUAAAUUAGGAAGAAGGAAAUGCUUUAAA